Molecule: long non-coding RNA, 555 nt
Organism: Candoia aspera
Lineage: Eukaryota; Metazoa; Chordata; Lepidosauria; Squamata; Candoiidae
Exons: 3
Source: RefSeq, a predicted model, not a curated record
CGCCGAGGAGCCAGUCUGGAGACGCGCCUGGUGGUGUGCUGGUUGUGGAAAGAGCCGGGCAGCGCGCGAGCGAGCGAGCGCGAGCUAGGAGGGAACGCGACGCGGCGGGGAUUUCCAGACUGGGCUCGAGGGCGGGAGAGGAAGUGCGGGGCGGGGGGAGAGAGAACCAGCCGGGGCAGCGCACCAGGGACUUUCCAGCCGGGGCAAGACAGCUACGUUUGGCCGACCUGCUGCAAGAACAGCAGCGGUCGGGUCGGUAGUGCUGGCGGCCGCGGUUCUCCCCCCCACCUUCUUUUCCUCAGGCGCAAAGUAAGUAGGGGAAGAACGGAGAAGGUGGCCGGCUGUUGCUCUCCUCCAGGCAGAGGCGGAAUCCGGAGCUGGUGGGGAGGGAGCGCUUCCCAAAGCCGAGGCGGAGCGGGAUAGCUUUAUAGCAAGUGCAGAAGAAGGAGCAGUUAAAGGAUACAACAUGAAGUGGACAUACACAGCAUACCAUGAAGCUAAAAUCAGGAAUUAUGACAUUUCUCGAAAUGUAAUGUGUAUACUUAAGAACAUGAC